AUAUAUAUAGGUAUAUGAUGGUUCAUUGCCCCUCCGAACUCAUCCCCAAACCUAAACCCACGUAUCAAAUUGAAUCUCCGUGACGUCCGCACGCCGGGUCGGGUCCCACACGACUCGUCAUCGAACUCACCGGCACGAAACCGUCCAGGCGACUCGGCAGUCACGGGCCAUCUCGAGAUCCAUGGAGAAGAUGAUGGAAGGGGGAGCUGGAGAAUGCUAAGGGUUUUGAGUUUGCUGAGUUUUUUCGCCGGAUCUGAGGGUUUUUGAAGCUUUUGGGGGGUGAUCUUUAGCUUGGUGUUUCUAAUGACAAUGGAAGAUGCUUCAUCUAAUGCACCUCGGUUUAGAAGAAUACUGCUCCAAGCAUGGGCUUCAAACCCAGAGCUGGACCCUAUGCUAAAUGAAAACUUGGAACAGUGGCCACAUCUAAAUGAGUUGGUCCAGUGCUACAAGGCAGAUUGGGCGAAGGAUGAAAUCAAGUGAUGAUUUUCCUAAAUUUUAUGACAUCCUUAGUUCAUUGGAGGAUAUACUACUUUAUGUACUGGAGCUUGAGAUCCAUGUUUCGGGAAGAUGAAUUAAUCUGUUAAUCUUAAUUGCCUUGACCACUUGCAUCAGAAAUACACCUGGCCCGUUCUAGGCAUUCUAAAGUGGAAGAUGCUACUGAUGAUGACACUGCUAGUACCUCAGGAAGACAGAUAUCUGAAUUUGGUCCUGAUAAUUUAUCUACAAAACAUUGGAUUGAAGAUCACUGUGAAGGUGUUAUCCUUAUCAUUUCAAGCUGGAUUAGUCGAGCCCUUUUAUGGUACAAUUUGCUUAUAUAAUGAGAGGAGAGAAAAAUUGUCCGAGGACUUCUAUUUUCGUGUUCUACCAACAGAUACGUAACCACUAUUAUUCUAGAACGUCGAGGGGUUUUC
Dioscorea cayenensis subsp. rotundata (Guinea yam) is the source of this 911-nucleotide RNA transcript. It is a transcript of the gene named guanine nucleotide exchange factor SPIKE 1-like, with no coding region annotated. The transcript has 8 exons. Lineage: Eukaryota; Viridiplantae; Streptophyta; Magnoliopsida; Dioscoreales; Dioscoreaceae. The record is from RefSeq and is a predicted model, not a curated record.